RNAcentral lists this ribosomal RNA (373 nucleotides) under uncultured eukaryote. Its description in RNAcentral is "partial 18S ribosomal RNA". It matches the Rfam family "Eukaryotic small subunit ribosomal RNA", at positions 592 to 976 of the family's 1831-position model. The record is from RNAcentral.
CAAUAGCGUAUAUUAAAGUUGUUGCAGUUAAAAAGCUCGUAGUUGAAUUUUUGCUUGCCGCCGAUGUCGGAACUUCCGUACGUUCGGCGGCGUGCAUCCUUGGGUGGAACCUGUGUGGCAUUAGGUUGUCGUGCAGGGGAUGCUCAUCGUUUACUGUGAAAAAAUUAGAGUGUUCAAAGCAGGCUUACGCCGUUGAAUAUAUUAGCAUGGAAUAAUGAGAUAGGACCUUGGUACUAUUUUGUUGGUUUGCGCACCAAGGUAAUGAUUAAUAGGGACAGUUGGGGGUAUUCGUAUUCCAUUGUCAGAGGUGAAAUUCUUGGAUUUCUGGAAGACGAACUACUGCGAAAGCAUUUACCAAGGAUGUUUUCAUUAA